GGCAGGUUGCCCGAGUGGCCAAAGGGAACGGUCUGUAAAACCGUCGGCUCAGCCUACGCAAGUUCGAACCUUGCACCUGCCACCA
This 85-nucleotide transfer RNA is filed under the name Planobispora rosea. RNAcentral's name for it is "tRNA-Tyr". It matches the Rfam family "tRNA". Rfam says of the family: Transfer RNA (tRNA) molecules are approximately 80 nucleotides in length. The record is from RNAcentral. Lineage: Bacteria; Bacillati; Actinomycetota; Actinomycetes; Streptosporangiales; Streptosporangiaceae.